CUGUGAGCUCGAUGAGUAGGGCGGGACACGUGGUAUCCUGUCUGAAUAUGGGGGGACCAUCCUCCAAGGCUAAAUACUCCUGACUGACCGAUAGUGAACCAGUACCGUGAGGGAAAGGCGAAAAGAACCCCGGCGAGGGGAGUGAAAAAGAACCUGAAACCGUGUACGUACAAGCAGUGGGAGCACGCUUAGGCGUGUGACUGCGUACCUUUUGUAUAAUGGGUCAGCGACUUAUAUUCUGUAGCAAGGUUAACCGAAUAGGGGAGCCGAAGGGAAACCGAGUCUUAACUGGGCGUUAAGUUGCAGGGUAUAGACCCGAAACCCGGUGAUCUAGCCAUGGGCAGGUUGAAGGUUGGGUAACACUAACUGGAGGACCGAACCGACUAAUGUUGAAAAAUUAGCGGAUGACUUGUGGCUGGGGGUGAAAGGCCAAUCAAACCGGGAGAUAGCUGGUUCUCCCCGAAAGCUAUUUAGGUAGCGCCUCGUGAAUUCAUCUCCGGGGGUAGAGCACUGUUUCGGCAAGGGGGUCAUCCCGACUUACCAACCCGAUGCAAACUGCGAAUACCGGAGAAUGUUAUCACGGGAGACACACGGCGGGUGCUAACGUCCGUCGUGAAGAGGGAAACAACCCAGACCGCCAGCUAAGGUCCCAAAGUCAUGGUUAAGUGGGAAACGAUGUGGGAAGGCCCAGACAGCCAGGAUGUUGGCUUAGAAGCAGCCAUCAUUUAAAGAAAGCGUAAUAGCUCACUGGUCGAGUCGGCCUGCGCGGAAGAUGUAACGGGGCUAAACCAUGCACCGAAGCUGCGGCAGCGACGCUGAUGCGUUGUUGGGUAGGGGAGCGUUCUGUAAGCCUGCGAAGGUGUGCUGUGAGGCAUGCUGGAGGUAUCAGAAGUGCGAAUGCUGACAUAAGUAACGAUAAAGCGGGUGAAAAGCCCGCUCGCCGGAAGACCAAGGGUUCCUGUCCAACGUUAAUCGGGGCAGGGUGAGUCGACCCCUAAGGCGAGGCCGAAAGGCGUAGUCGAUGGGAAACAGGUUAAUAUUCCUGUACUUGGUGUUACUGCGAAGGGGGGACGGAGAAGGCUAUGUUGGCCGGGCGACGGUUGUCCCGGUUUAAGCGUGUAGGCUGGUUUUCCAGGCAAAUCCGGAAAAUCAAGGCUGAGGCGUGAUGACGAGGCACUACGGUGCUGAAGCAACAAAUGCCCUGCUUCCAGGAAAAGCCUCUAAGCAUCAGGUAACAUCAAAUCGUACCCCAAACCGACACAGGUGGUCAGGUAGAGAAUACCAAGGCGCUUGAGAGAACUCGGGUGAAGGAACUAGGCAAAAUGGUGCCGUAACUUCGGGAGAAGGCACGCUGAUAUGUAGGUGAAGUCCCUCGCGGAUGGAGCUGAAAUCAGUCGAAGAUACCAGCUGGCUGCAACUGUUUAUUAAAAACACAGCACUGUGCAAACACGAAAGUGGACGUAUACGGUGUGACGCCUGCCCGGUGCCGGAAGGUUAAUUGAUGGGGUCAGCGCAAGCGAAGCUCUUGAUCGAAGCCCCGGUAAACGGCGGCCGUAACUAUAACGGUCCUAAGGUAGCGAAAUUCCUUGUCGGGUAAGUUCCGACCUGCACGAAUGGCGUAAUGAUGGCCAGGCUGUCUCCACCCGAGACUCAGUGAAAUUGAACUCGCUGUGAAGAUGCAGUGUACCCGCGGCAAGACGGAAAGACCCCGUGAACCUUUACUAUAGCUUGACACUGAACAUUGAGCAUUGAUGUGUAGGAUAGGUGGGAGGCUUUGAAGUGUGGACGCCAGUCUGCAUGGAGCCGACCUUGAAAUACCACCCUUUAAUGUUUGAUGUUCUAACGUUGACCCGUAAUCCGGGUUGCGGACAGUGUCUGGUGGGUAGUUUGACUGGGGCGGUCUCCUCCUAAAGAGUAACGGAGGAGCACGAAGGUUGGCUAAUCCUGGUCGGACAUCAGGAGGUUAGUGCAAUGGCAUAAGCCAGCUUGACUGCGAGCGUGACGGCGCGAGCAGGUGCGAAAGCAGGUCAUAGUGAUCCGGUGGUUCUGAAUGGAAGGGCCAUCGCUCAACGGAUAAAAGGUACUCCGGGGAUAACAGGCUGAUACCGCCCAAGAGUUCAUAUCGACGGCGGUGUUUGGCACCUCGAUGUCGGCUCAUCACAUCCUGGGGCUGAAGUAGGUCCCAAGGGUAUGGCUGUUCGCCAUUUAAAGUGGUACGCGAGCUGGGUUUAGAACGUCGUGAGACAGUUCGGUCCCUAUCUGCCGUGGGCGCUGGAGAACUGAGGGGGGCUGCUCCUAGUACGAGAGGACCGGAGUGGACGCAUCACUGGUGUUCGGGUUGUCAUGCCAAUGGCACUGCCCGGUAGCUAAAUGCGGAAGAGAUAAGUGCUGAAAGCAUCUAAGCACGAAACUUGCCCCGAGAUGAGUUCUCCCUGACUCCUUGAGAGUCCUGAAGGAACGUUGAAGACGACGACGUUGAUAGGCCGGGUGUGUAAGCGCAGCGAUGCGUUGAGCUAACCGGUACUAAUGAACCGUGAGGCUUAACCUUACAACGCCGAAG
Molecule: ribosomal RNA, 2560 nt
Filed under: Escherichia coli
Lineage: Bacteria; Pseudomonadati; Pseudomonadota; Gammaproteobacteria; Enterobacterales; Enterobacteriaceae
Description: bacterial LSU rRNA
Rfam family: Bacterial large subunit ribosomal RNA
Source: RNAcentral